Scylla paramamosain (green mud crab) is the source of this 691-nucleotide long non-coding RNA. RefSeq lists it as uncharacterized. NCBI's taxonomy places the organism in Eukaryota, Metazoa, Arthropoda, Malacostraca, Decapoda, Portunidae. The transcript has 4 exons. The record is from RefSeq and is a predicted model, not a curated record.
GACAGGGGCCGCCGAGGGGGAGCCGAGCCGAGUCGAGGCGAGCUGAGCUCUGCCCCAAACAGUACUGUAGUGGACGGAGAGAAGACGUUAUGUGAGGCAACACAGCACCAUAAAAAAAGGAACCAGUAUCGAGAAGCAGAUGACUAUGCUGCAAUGUUUGCUGCAAAGGGACAGUUUGUAAAGAAUGUUCGAGAGGCGAGACAACCCUAUGCAGGCCCCAAGUACUCGUUACGGACGCCCACGCCCACAGCACACCCACGCACGACGACGUAAGGCAAGGCAACCAUUUAUUUGAUAUUUAUUGUUUUGUUCAACUUCGCCCGCCGGGGAGAGGACGGCGGGGGCGCGGACCCACGCCCUUGCAGGAAUGAGGGAGAGAGAGAAGGGGAGGAGGAAGGAAGGGAGGAGGGAAGGAAGGGUACAACGUUUUGGUGACCUUGUGACCUCACCAGCUGACCUCUUUACCCUCCAACAUGAACAAGAGAGGAGAAAGUGGCCCUACACAACGCCGUACCGAAUAUAGCGCCUCAAGCCUCGUUCUGGGAGGUUCGUGCGAAGAGUCGAAACUUCGGGACGUGCGGUUCACUCCCUCCCGCGGCAGGCGUCGGCGGGGGAACCUUCCAUUAGGUCUCGUAAAGUGUGGCGAGACAAAGGACUCAUCGAAGAGACGCGAUGAGAGUCUGACCGGCGG